UAGAUCCAAGAUAUUUUGGCCUCUAAAUCCUUGUAGUUUCUUGUUAUUAAAAAUCGGGUAAAAAGGCACAAAUGGGAUGGUGUAACUUUGCUCUAGAUAUCAUGUUGGUUGCCAAACUUUAUAUAAUUUCAAAUUGGUCACCAUAUUUUUAAAAUAGUUUCUGUUCAGUCACUAAAUUAUUCAGUCAUAGGAUGGCAACGAGCGGGAUUGGGCUGGCGUAGCCAUAAC
Molecule: long non-coding RNA, 228 nt
Filed under: Olea europaea (common olive)
Lineage: Eukaryota; Viridiplantae; Streptophyta; Magnoliopsida; Lamiales; Oleaceae
Description: long non-coding RNA (OEUR_LNC006760)
Source: RNAcentral